RNAcentral lists this transfer RNA (64 nucleotides) under Modiolus kurilensis. RNAcentral's name for it is "tRNA-Leu". Lineage: Eukaryota; Metazoa; Mollusca; Bivalvia; Mytilida; Modiolidae. The record is from RNAcentral.
GGUGAGGUGGCAGAUAAAUGCGAUAGAUUUAAGCUCUAUCCAUGAAAUUACUUUUCUCUUGCUU